RNAcentral lists this ribosomal RNA (263 nucleotides) under uncultured archaeon. RNAcentral's name for it is "partial 16S ribosomal RNA". It matches the Rfam family "Archaeal small subunit ribosomal RNA", at positions 748 to 1009 of the family's 1478-position model. The record is from RNAcentral.
UAGCCGUAAACGAUACUCGCUAGGUGUCGGCCACGGUGCGACCGUUGUCGGUGCCGUAGGGAAGCCGUGAAGCGAGCCACCUGGGAAGUACGGCCGCAAGGCUGAAACUUAAAGGAAUUGGCGGGGGAGGCACAACAACGGGUGGGAGCUUGCGGUUUAAUUGGACUCAACGCCGGGAAGCUCACCGGAUAAGACAGCGGAAUGAUUGCCGGGCUGAAGACCCUGCAUGACCAGCUGAGAGGAGGUGCAUGGCGUAGUCGUGU